Panonychus citri (citrus red mite) is the source of this 2293-nucleotide long non-coding RNA. RefSeq lists it as uncharacterized. The record is from RefSeq and is a predicted model, not a curated record. NCBI's taxonomy places the organism in Eukaryota, Metazoa, Arthropoda, Arachnida, Trombidiformes, Tetranychidae. The transcript has 2 exons.
AACAGAUUGAGAAAAUCACCACCAGGAGUCUCUAGUGAGGAAACAACGUGUUCCAAACAUGUGAUUGUUUACUUUUUUAAAAAAGUUUUUUUAUCUUUUCAAUGAAUAGUUUUCAUUAAUUUUAUUUUUCACUUGGUUUAAUUGUCACCAUUAACAAUGAGUUGGUUAACCAAUAUCAAACAAAUAUCUUUGGAAGAUACGAUAUUCGACAGCAAAUUUCACCCAAGCAAACCCAACAUUUUUGUCUGUGUCACUGUUUCUGGUGAUCUUUUCAUGUAAGUCACCUUCUAUUGUUAAACAAUACAAUUUAUCUUAUCUUCAUUUUCGGUUUAAUGGCAAACGUUACAAUUUCAAUUCCAUUGUAAUAUAAUAACGAUCAACGUAAAAUUAUAAAAUCAACACAAUUAAAUUCAUCAUCUUCAUCGUCUUCAAUUUCAUCGACAAUAGUUAUUCCUAAGAUUAAAGUCACCAAUGGUCCAAUGGUUCCAAAUUAAAGAAUCGAGAUUCUCUAUCUCUCUCAGUUUUUGUUUUGCUCUAUCACUAAGCAAAUCUGUCGCUGUGAUUUGUUUUGAACGAUAUGAUCUGCUGAUUUGUUCGGCCAAUAAACGGUAUUUAUUUGGUGGUGUUGUGUAGGAUAAUUGGCAGUACAAUCUUUCCUGGUACUCGACUCUCUUAACAGUUGAUGCAAGGGUUGCAGGCGAUUUAAUGAAACUUUCACGUCUUAAAGACCGUCGAUGUUUUUCUUGAGGUUUAUCGUCUACGUCAGUCCAACAACUAUCAACAGGAUUAAGUCCACCACUUGACUUUUUAUAACCUCCGUCAGAAUUUGUCAAGGUAGAUCCAUUGGCGAUCUGUGGACUUACACGAAUCUCUGAAAUGUUUUGCUGAAUUUUGGAAUCACUUUGCUUUUUUCGCUGCAUCGAUAUCUUUUUUAAUGCUUUCGGCAACAGUCACCUUCUCAGCAGUUUUUCAACAGAAACAGCCAAUUGCUGACGUAAAGAUGUCAGAGUAGAAACGUCAUUUUCGGAAGAACAAAUAGAAACACUUUCAACAACAAUAUCUUGACUAACAGCCAUCAAUUCCAUUGAGUAGUCAUUCUGAGUGAAAAGAGCUUUUUUCAAAUUUUCUCGCUCGAUUUUUUACCAUUUUUUUAAUAAGCCUUUGCUUAAAAGGUGUUUUUCUGGUCUUUUUAUUAUUUGUAUUUCCUCCAAGAAUUUGAUAAGGUGAAGCGCCACUUCGAGUUAAUUUUCUAAACUCAGUUUCUCGUAGAGAAUAAUAUUUUCUUGUUUUGGAAGAAACUGGAGUUUGAUAGUUUGAUGACAAUUCAAGGAUCAAAUCAAUCUUUAUUUCCAUGUUGUUUACAAAUUCAAUUGGUGAUAAAUAUAAAUGAAUUGACCCGCAGAGAGAAAGAUGGAAAUUUAAAGAAUAUGAUGAGCAACUUGAAUGAUGGAUAAAAAGAUGAUGGAAUCGCCAAUCAAACCCAGUAAAUCUUCAACAAUUAACACAUAACCUGAGAGAGAGAGAUCGUAAAAAAUAGAAAACAAGUUAAUAAUCAUUGAAAAUUAUGGAUUAGCAGAAGAGAGAAAAACAACAACUUUGAUUAAAAGACAAACACUGUGUUUGAAACACAUAAAACACAGUGUGAGGAACAUUUAAAAUUUUUUCUCAAUAUUUGCUUUUCUUUUCAACAGAUGGCGUUACUUUCGUUUUUCGAUCAGAUGUUUUGUCCAAAUGAUUUAAUUCCGAACAAUUUAUUUAAUUUGAUUGAUUGUCAAUCAUAAUCAAUUUGUCCCGGUGGUUUAAUCACUGUUACUUUAUUGUGCUGAGCAGUUUCUACUGGUGAUCUAUUACUUACUUGUUUAUUCAUGUAUCUCCUCAUCAAGUGACAUCUCUCAUUGACAAUCAGAUGUGUUUUCAGCCUUUGGUGUGACUUUGAUCAUCUUAAUUGUUACAAUUUUAGUUUUUUGCGUCAUCAAACUACUAAAUUUAAAAAAUAACAUUGGGUUAGAAAAUUUAUCUUCAUUCACUAUUUUCAUGAAUAAAAGUGAAAAAACUGUCAAUUCAAUAAUCAGUCCACCUCGAGUUCAAAAUGCCUCUUACCCAGAACUCAAUUUAUCAAUAUUUCAUUUCCCACCUCCCACCCUGAGCCAAUCAAUUUUCGCUUCGUGCGUCAUGAUUAGCGUGUUGACUGUUGAUAUGAGAGGCAAGUUUAAAGUUGUUUGUACUUCUUUUUUCACAAAUUGGACAGAUUGAAACGUAGUGAAUGCUGAAUAAAUGAUUUUCUAAAUUUUGA